ACAAGUCAAAAUUUUCAUUAACUCAGUAGUCUUUCACAGAAAGGAAUCUGAGAAUUCUUCCACUCACGAGUAAUGUGUUAAAGAAUGAGAAAAGAGCAUAUGUUUUCCUUGGCUUUUGGGUUAAUACAAUAAAGCCUGUGAAGUUUAACAUAAUUAAAUUAAUGUUGAUAUGCAGUGUGACUUGUUCACAGAGAAAUGGUAUUUGACUUAGAGCUAAUGCCACACCACAGCUGACACACAUCCAUCUGCAAAUGUUGUAUAGAAAGUCUUCUAAGAUCUUCAGAUGGAAGUUCUGUCAAGUAUGUUGGUGGCUCUAAAAAAAGUGGGGUGGAGAAAAGCAGAGAAAGAAGACACAAAGAAAAAACAAAACCGCCAGAAACCUACUAUGUGAAGCAUAUGGCCAAAGUAAGUAAACUACCCUUGUGAGACACCAGGGAGACUGUACUACAAGGUAAAAAGAUAAAAUCACUAAAAGCCACUCCUUACUGUGUACUGGUUAUACGUGUGUAUAAACAAGUUUGGGUAUACCACAGUGACACCAUAUAUCAACUUUUCAUAGACAUAGAUACUGAAAUACAAUUAAACUUUUCCUCUCACUCCAGAGAUUCCUUCUUUCUCGUUUAAAAUCUCCUUUUUAAGACUUACAUUAUUUAUAGAGAAUCAAAAGCUGUAUACAUUACCCAAUCAUUCUAGCAGUUACUUAGAAGGUCCACCAGAAUUUAUUUUCCCUCAAAGGAUCAAAUCACUCUUUUUAAAAAUAAUUAUAUCCAUCUUCUUGUCAAUGGAUGUGUGUUUCCGUCCUGACUCACAUUCAAAAAGUCUAAAUACUAGCA
Nomascus leucogenys (northern white-cheeked gibbon) is the source of this 833-nucleotide long non-coding RNA. RefSeq lists it as uncharacterized. The record is from RefSeq and is a predicted model, not a curated record. The transcript is spliced from 3 exons. NCBI's taxonomy places the organism in Eukaryota, Metazoa, Chordata, Mammalia, Primates, Hylobatidae.